Molecule: ribosomal RNA, 440 nt
Filed under: uncultured bacterium
Lineage: Bacteria
Description: partial 16S ribosomal RNA
Rfam family: Bacterial small subunit ribosomal RNA
Source: RNAcentral
CCUACGGGCGGCAGCAGUGGGGAAUAUUGCACAAUGGGGGAAACCCUGAUGCAGCGACGCCGCGUGAGUGAUGACGGACUUCGGUUCGUAAAGCUCUAUCAGCAGGGAAGAAAAUGACGGUACCUGACGAAGAAGCCACGGCUAACUACGUGCCAGCAGCCGCGGUAAUACGUAGGGGGCGAGCGUUGUCCGGAUUUACUGGGCGUAAAGGGAGCGUAGGCGGAAGCUGAAGUGGGAUGUGAAAUACCAGGGCUUAACCUGGGAACUGCAUUGGAAACUGGACGGCUGGAGUGCAGGAGAGGAGAAUGGAAUUCCUAGUGUAGCGGUGAAAUGCGUAGAUAUUAGGAAGAACACCAGUGGCGAAGGCGAUUUUCUGGACUGUAACUGACGUUGAGGCUCGAAAGCGUGGGGAGCAAACAGGAUUAGAUACCCUAGUAGUC